CCUGGUGACCUUACCGGCAGGGAAACGCCUGAUCCCAUUCCGAACUCAGAAGCUAAGACUGUCGGGCCGAUGGUAGUCCUUCGGGGCGAGAGUAGGUUAUUGCCAGGA
RNAcentral lists this ribosomal RNA (108 nucleotides) under Planctomycetes bacterium GWC2_45_44. The record is from RNAcentral. Lineage: Bacteria; Pseudomonadati; Planctomycetota. RNAcentral also lists the same sequence under 2 other names.